RNAcentral lists this ribosomal RNA (497 nucleotides) under uncultured bacterium. RNAcentral's name for it is "partial 16S ribosomal RNA". It matches the Rfam family "Bacterial small subunit ribosomal RNA", at positions 28 to 507 of the family's 1533-position model. The record is from RNAcentral.
GACGAACGCUGGCGGCGUGCUUAACACAUGCAAGUCGAACGGAGAGGGCUGGUUUUUGUUGCGAAUUGCUGAGCCGCGAACGGGUGAGUAACGCGUGGGGCAUGUGCCUUUGAGCGGGAGACAACAUAUAAACACGAAUGAUUAUACCGCAUAAACACUUUAAACACAAGUUGGAAGUUUGAAAGAUGCAAUUGCAUCACUUAAAGGUGGUUCCGCGGUGUUUUGGUUAGUUGGUGAGGUAAAGGCUCACCUACGCGAUGGUACAGAGCCGACCGGCGCGGGUGGACGGCCACAUUGGGACUGGGACACGGCCCAAACUCCUACGGGAGGCAGCAGUAGGGAGUCGUGGGCAAUGGACGAAAGUCUGACCGAGCAACGCCGCGUGCGUGGAGAAGGAUGUCGGAUCGUGAAUCUCUGUUGGUAGAGAAGAACGCGGGUGAGAGUGGAAAGCACAGGUAGUGACGGUAACGGCACAAGAAGCACCGGCUAACUACGUG